Long non-coding RNA from Onychomys torridus (southern grasshopper mouse), 458 nucleotides. RefSeq lists it as uncharacterized. The record is from RefSeq and is a predicted model, not a curated record. Lineage: Eukaryota; Metazoa; Chordata; Mammalia; Rodentia; Cricetidae. The transcript has 3 exons.
AUGUGAGUGCUUAGAAUCAAUCAAGCCCAGGUCACUUCAAGAACAAGCACCCCUAAAGCCGUUUCUCCAGCCUCAACACAUUUACUCUUCAGAGAAGAUCCCCAGGUUUCCCUGGAAAUCCAACUUCACCAUGCAAACAAUAUGAGCACACAUGGCUUCCAAAUUUUUUUCUCAAGUUCAACUUUUAUUGUCUUUUGUUAAGUAGCUGAUUUCAUGCGGAAUUAGGAAAGAUGUGAACAGCUUUUGCUUCUGGUCCUACCAGCACCCACUUCUACCACCACCUGCUUCUACCACCACCCACUUCUACCACCACCCGCUUCUACCACCUUCUUCUACUUCCACCUGCUCCUACUACCACCUGCUUCUACACCUCCUUUGCCUUGAUGGACUAUUCUUCUGGAAAGAUAAGCCAAAAUAAACUCUCUUCUGAUGUGACUGACUCAGCUGCUCUUCCAGGG